This 253-nucleotide ribosomal RNA is filed under the name uncultured bacterium. RNAcentral's name for it is "partial 16S ribosomal RNA". It matches the Rfam family "Bacterial small subunit ribosomal RNA", at positions 524 to 776 of the family's 1533-position model. The record is from RNAcentral.
UACGUAGGGCGCAAGCGUUGUCCGGAAUUAUUGGGCGUAAAGAGCUCGUAGGCGGCCAGUUGCGUCUGCUGUGAAAUCCCGGGGCUCAACCCCGGGCGUGCAGUGGAUACGGGCUGGCUAGAGGCAGGCAGGGGAGAACGGAAUUCCCGGUCUAGCGGUGAAAUGCGCAGAUAUCGGGAGGAACACCGGUGGCGAAGGCGGUUCUCUGGGCCUGUACUGACGCUGAGGAGCGAAAGCGUGGGGAGCGAACAGG